GUCGAAACCUGCCUAGCAGAGCGACCCGUGAACGCGUGAAAACAAAUCGGGACGGGUCGAGGAGGGGCGUCCGCCCCCGAUCGCCCGUUCCUCGGACCGCGUCCGACGCCCCCGUCGGUCCGAAAGGGUCGUCGGGACGCCGCGACAAAGCGUCCGUGCAAAACCAAAAACCGGCGCGACAGGCGCCAAGGAAAUCUCAGAAGGAAACGGAGGGCCGCCCCGUCCGCGGGCGCGGCCCUCGGAAUCCGAUACUCGAACGACUCCCGGCAACGGAUAUCUCGGCUCUUGCAUCGAUGAAGAACGUAGCGAAAUGCGAUACUUGGUGUGAAUUGCAGAAUCCCGUGAACCAUCGAGUCUUUGAACGCAAGUUGCGCCCGAGGCCACUAGGCCGAGGGCACGUCUGCCUGGGCGUCACACACAGCGUCGCCCCACGACAACCCCUGAGGCCGUCGUGGAGCGGAGAUUGGCCCCCCGGGCCCUUCAGGGCACGGUCGGCACAAAUGCUGGUCCCCGACGACGAGCGUCGCGGUCAUCGGUGGNCGUGUUAAUCGCCCCCAUACGGCUGACUCGCGCGACUCGUCGCCGCACGGACGCACCCACCCCCGGGAGCCGCCAUUCAAUGGCAA
This 626-nucleotide ribosomal RNA is filed under the name Aconitella hohenackeri. RNAcentral's name for it is "eukaryotic LSU rRNA". The stretch from base 259 to 414 matches the Rfam family "5.8S ribosomal RNA". Lineage: Eukaryota; Viridiplantae; Streptophyta; Magnoliopsida; Ranunculales; Ranunculaceae. The record is from RNAcentral.